This 413-nucleotide ribosomal RNA is filed under the name uncultured bacterium. RNAcentral's name for it is "bacterial SSU rRNA". It matches the Rfam family "Bacterial small subunit ribosomal RNA", at positions 358 to 774 of the family's 1533-position model. The record is from RNAcentral.
GGAAUAUUCCACAAUGGGGGAAACCCUGAUGGAGCGACGCCGCGUGAGUGAAGAAGGGCUUCGGCUCGUAAAGCUCUUUUCUCCUUGACGAAUUAGUCUUCGGGACAGUUGACGGUAGAGGGGGAAUAAGCCACGGCUAACUACGUGCCAGCAGCCGCGGUAAUACGUAGGUGGCAAGCGUUGUCCGGAAUUAUUGGGCGUAAAGGGAGCGCAGGCGGGUUUGCAAGUCUCACUUAAAAGUUCAGGAGUAAUGCCUGUGAUGGGUGGGAAACUGCAAAUCUUGAGAGCAGGAGAGGCAAGCGGAAUUCCCUGUGUAGCGGUGAAAUGCGUAGAUAUCGGGAGGAACACCAGUGGCGAAGGCGGCUUGCUGGACUGUAUCUGACGCUGAGGCUCGAAAGCAGGGGUAGCGAACG